AGAGCGAACGCUGGCGGCAGGCUUAACACAUGCAAGUCGAGCGGGCGUAGCAAUACGGAGCGGCAGACGGGAGAGUAACACGUGGGAACGUACCUUUCAGUUCGGAACAACCCAGGGAAACUUGGGCUAAUACCGGAUACGCCCUUACGGGGAAAGAUUUAUCGCUGAAAGAUCGGCCCGCGUCUGAUUAGCUAGUUGGUGGGGUAACGGCCCACCAAGGCUACGAUCAGUAGCUGGUCUGAGAGGAUGAUCAGCCUCACUGGGACUGAGACACGGCCCAGACUCCUACGGGAGGCAGCAGUGGGGAAUAUUGGACAAUGGGCGCAAGCCUGAUCCAGCCAUGCCGCGUGGAUGAUGAAGGCCCUAGGGUUGUAAAGUCCUUUCGGCGGGGAAGAUAAUGACGGUACCCGCAGAAGAAGCCCCGGCUAACUUCGCGCCAGCAGCCGC
RNAcentral lists this ribosomal RNA (447 nucleotides) under uncultured bacterium. RNAcentral describes it as "SSU rRNA". It matches the Rfam family "Bacterial small subunit ribosomal RNA", at positions 26 to 518 of the family's 1533-position model. The record is from RNAcentral.